This 156-nucleotide ribosomal RNA is filed under the name Trichomonas vaginalis G3. RNAcentral describes it as "5.8S ribosomal RNA". It matches the Rfam family "5.8S ribosomal RNA". From Rfam's summary of the family: 5.8S ribosomal RNA (5.8S rRNA) is a component of the large subunit of the eukaryotic ribosome. It is transcribed by RNA polymerase I as part of the 45S precursor that also contains 18S and 28S rRNA. Functionally, it is thought that 5.8S rRNA may be involved in ribosome translocation. The record is from Rfam by way of RNAcentral. Lineage: Eukaryota; Parabasalia; Trichomonadida; Trichomonadidae.
GUCUCUAAGCAAUGGAUGUCUUGGCUCCUCACACGAUGAAGAACGUGGCAUAAUGUGUUAAGUAACCGGAGUUGCAAACAUCAUGACAAGUUAAUCUUUGAAUGCAAAUUGCGCUAAACUCGAUCUCAGUCGAGAAGCAUGAGUGUGACAGUACUA